AGGGAAGCGAGCCUGCGAGGGGGAGCGAAUCCCAAAAAUAACGUCCCAGUUCGGAUUGUAGUCUGCAACCCGACUACAUGAAGCUGGAAUCGCUAGUAAUCGCGGAUCAGAAUGCCGCGGUGAAUACGUUCCCGGGUCUUGUACACACCGCCCGUCACACCAUGGGAGUCGGAAAUGCCCGAAGUCUGCGACCCAACCUUAGGGAGGGAGCAGCCGAAGGCAGGUCGGAUGACUGGGGUGAAGUCGUAACAAGGUAGC
Molecule: ribosomal RNA, 258 nt
Filed under: uncultured bacterium
Lineage: Bacteria
Description: partial 16S ribosomal RNA
Rfam family: Bacterial small subunit ribosomal RNA
Source: RNAcentral